GAUGAACGCUGGCGGCGUGCCUAAUACAUGCAAGUCGAGCGAACAGACGAGGAGCUUGCUCCUCUGACGUUAGCGGCGGACGGGUGAGUAACACGUGGAUAACCUACCUAUAAGACUGGGAUAACUUCGGGAAACCGGAGCUAAUACCGGAUAAUAUAUUGAACCGCAUGGUUCAAUAGUGAAAGACGGUUUUGCUGUCACUUAUAGAUGGAUCCGCGCCGCAUUAGCUAGUUGGUAAGGUAACGGCUUACCAAGGCAACGAUGCGUAGCCGACCUGAGAGGGUGAUCGGCCACACUGGAACUGAGACACGGUCCAGACUCCUACGGGAGGCAGCAGUAGGGAAUCUUACGCAAUGGGCGAAAGCCUGACGGAGCAACGCCGCGUGAGUGAUGAAGGUCCUCGGAUCGUAAAACUCUGUUAUUAGGGAAGAACAAAUGUGUAAGUAACUAUGCACGUAUUGACGGUACCUAAUCAGAAAGCCACGGCUAACUACGUG
Molecule: ribosomal RNA, 497 nt
Filed under: uncultured bacterium
Lineage: Bacteria
Description: partial 16S ribosomal RNA
Rfam family: Bacterial small subunit ribosomal RNA
Source: RNAcentral